Neopsephotus bourkii (Bourke's parrot) is the source of this 1479-nucleotide long non-coding RNA. RefSeq lists it as uncharacterized. The transcript is spliced from 4 exons. The record is from RefSeq and is a predicted model, not a curated record. Lineage: Eukaryota; Metazoa; Chordata; Aves; Psittaciformes; Psittacidae.
UGCCUGUCCCAGACCCUUCUGGAUGUCCUAUCCCUUAAUUUUCUCUGUCUGGAAAACAGGACUGGGGUAAGCUGUAGCUGUCUUGCCUGCUCUCUCCUGCCUUUGUGGGUAUCAGGAGCCCUUUCAGAGGGGCAAGAAACUGCCAGAUGACCAGCCCCUAAGUCAAGCACAGGUAUACAUACCCCUAUUGAAGGGAGGGAGAGCAUCAGCCCCCCCCCCGAUUGCCUGAAGACCUGUAAACUGCUCCACACCACCUGCUGUUGCUGCUAACCCAAAGGCUACAAGUGGCUUGCAGGGACUGUGUUCCUGCUGCAGUGGUUGCCCACAGGUUGAACUGGGUGGGAAACUCCAGUAGUGUUUCCAAGUGCCAGAAUAUGAGUCAUGAAGCCAGUGUUUCUAGCUUAUUUUUAUUUCCUGAUUAUCUGCAGGGUUUCAGGCUCCUGCACAGCUGACAGAGCCUUUCCUUUCGCCCCUUUUCCUCGUGCUUCUAUUUGUCUCCCUAUUUUUAGCCUGUCUGUGGCAUUCUUCACACAAUGCCUGUGUGCACCGCUUUGAUCAAAGCUGCUGACAAUGAUGGCAACGUGACCUUGAAGCCGGCAGCCAGCUCGCUGCUGCUUCCAACCCCGACUGCGCUGGAGCAACUGGAGCAUCGGAGACGAUGAGAGGACACCAGCAUCCCUGGCCACCACUGCGCAUCCUGGCACCAGCACCUUGUCAUGAUUCCCAAGACAGCAAGGAGGUGCUGAUGUGAGCAGGUACAGUGUCCCCUAGGAGCAGGGCAGAAGAGCGUGUCGGGGAUGCAGCAUAUGGAGCCCUUGAGCAGGAUCACAGUCAGCAGCACCACAGAGGGCAGCCUGGCUCGCAGGUCAGGGAGCAGAGAAGGACCACUGUAGGAAGCUGGAGCCACCAGCACUAGGGACAUAAGGCUGUAGCUGUUCUGCCUGUCAGCUCUAUCCCAGUGGCUCUUCUUGGCUGGAGUCACAAUUUGCACCAUUUUUGCUGAGCUCUAGCUAUGGAGAGCAGCUGUUCCAGGCAGAGGGAUGCUGAGGAGGGAGGACUGGGUUUGUUCCUUGGAGCAGAUUGGGAUGCUGCAGGUGAGGAUGCGGUACAUCUGCCCUCAGGUAAGGAGUUGCACAUGGAGCAAGGUGGGGAGCUGAUGCUCCAUGAUUCGAUGUACCUGAAGACAGUCACGUGCAAGAGGAAAAGAAAACAAGAAGAGAGAUGAAUAGCUUUAAAGCAAAGAAAGUGUCAUUUUUGAGGUAAUUAAUUACUAAUUAUACACACACAGAAUUGUCUGUCAUUAACAUUACUUGGGGUUUCAGUACGUUGUGGUUUUAAUUAAACAAAUCCUUAGAUAUUUUUUCUCCUUCUUUGUAGAACAAAUUCAUUUUUUUUUAUUGGUGCCAAAGAAUAAAUUGUGUAAUUAGUGACUAUUACUUUGUCGCUUCUGGAAGGUUUAUUUCCAGGUUGUUUGUAUGC